This 422-nucleotide ribosomal RNA is filed under the name uncultured bacterium. RNAcentral describes it as "bacterial SSU rRNA". It matches the Rfam family "Bacterial small subunit ribosomal RNA", at positions 29 to 497 of the family's 1533-position model. The record is from RNAcentral.
AACGAACGCUGGCGGCAUGCCUAACACAUGCAAGUCGAACGAACCCUUCGGGGUUAGUGGCGCACGGGUGCGUAACACGCGGGAAUCUGCCCUUUGCUUCGGAAUAACAGUUAGAAAUGACUGCUAAUACCGGAUGAUGUCGUAAGACCAAAGAUUUAUCGGCAAAGGAUGAGCCCGCGUAGGAUUAGGUAGUUGAUGGGGUAAAGGCCUACCAAGCCGACGAUCCUUAGCUGGUCUGAGAGGAUGAUCAGCCACACUGGGACUGAGACACGGCCCAGACUCCUACGGGAGGCAGCAGUGGGGAAUAUUGGACAAUGGGCGAAAGCCUGAUCCAGCAAUGCCGCGUGAGUGAUGAAGCCUCGGUUGUAAGACUCCUUUACCUAGGGAUGAUAAUAGACAGUACCUGGAGAAUAAGACUCCGG